AUGAUGUUCAGCACCUCCAAAUCUGAGACCAUGGUUCUCGACCGGAAAAGGGUGGCUUGCCAACUCCGGGUUGGGGGAGAGGUCCUACCUCAAGUGGAGGAGUUUAAGUAUCUCGGGGUCUUGUUCACGAGUGAGGGUAGGAGGGAUCGGGAGAUCGACAGGCGGAUUGGUUCAGCAUCUGCAGUGAUGCGGACGCUGAGCCGAUCUGUCGUGGUGAAGAGGGAGCUGAGCCAGAAAGCCAGGCUCUCGAUUUACCGGUCGAUCUACGUCCCAAUCCUCACCUAUGGUCAUGAGCUUUGGGUAAUGACCGAAAGAACGAGAUCGCGGAUACAAGCGGCCGAAAUGAGUUUCCUCCGUAGGGUGGCCGGGCUCAGCCUUAGAGANCGCAGCCGUGGUGUGGAGUGUGUCGAGUUUGGUGGCAGGAGAAUCUCGUCUCUGCUUUUUGCGGAUGAUGUGGUCCUCCUAGCUUCAUCCAGCUCUGACCUUCAGCUCUUGCUGGGUAGGUUCGCGGCCGAGUGUGAAGCGGCUGGGAUGAGGAUCAGCACCUCCAAAUCUGAGACCAUGGUUCUCGACCGGAAAAGGGUGGCUUGCCACCUCCGGGUCGGGGGAGAGGUCCUACCUCAAGUGGAGGAGUUUAAGUAUCUCGGGGUCUUGUUCACGAGUGAGGGUAGGAGGGAUCGGGAGAUCGACAGGCGGAUUGGUUCGGCGUCUGCAGUGAUGCGGACGCUGAGCCGAUCUGUCGUGGUGAAGAGGGAGCUGAGCCAGAAAGCCAGGCUCUCGAUUUACCGGUCGAUCUACGUCCCAAUCCUCACCUAUGGUCAUGAGCUUUGGGUAAUGACCGAAAGAACGAGAUCGUGGAUACAAGCGGCCCAAAUGAGUUUCCUCCGUAGGGUGGCCGGGCUCAGCCUUAGAGAUAGGGUGAGGAGCUCGGACAUUCGGGAGGGACUCGGAGUAGAACCGCUGCUCCUCCGGAUCGAAAGGAGCCAGUUGAGGUGGUUUGGGCAUCUGGUCAGGAUGCCUCCUGGACGCCUCCCUGGGGAGGUGUUUCAGGCAUGUCCUGCCGGCAGGAGGCCCCCGGGUUGA
Molecule: long non-coding RNA, 1083 nt
Filed under: Nothobranchius furzeri (turquoise killifish)
Lineage: Eukaryota; Metazoa; Chordata; Actinopteri; Cyprinodontiformes; Nothobranchiidae
Description: lncRNA (ENSNFUG00015019576.1)
Source: RNAcentral